Molecule: ribosomal RNA, 1445 nt
Filed under: uncultured organism
Description: SSU rRNA
Rfam family: Bacterial small subunit ribosomal RNA
Source: RNAcentral
GAACGCUAGCUACAGGCUUAACACAUGCAAGUCGAGGGGCAGCAUUUCAGUUUGCUUGCAAACUGGAGAUGGCGACCGGCGCACGGGUGAGUAACACGUAUCCAACCUGCCGAUAACUCGGGGAUAGCCUUUCGAAAGAAAGAUUAAUACCCGAUGGCAUAAUUAGACCGCAUGGUCUUAUUAUUAAAGAAUUUCGGUUAUCGAUGGGGAUGCGUUCCAUUAGGCAGUUGGUGAGGUAACGGCUCACCAAACCUUCGAUGGAUAGGGGUUCUGAGAGGAAGGUCCCCCACAUUGGAACUGAGACACGGUCCAAACUCCUACGGGAGGCAGCAGUGAGGAAUAUUGGUCAAUGGACGAGAGUCUGAACCAGCCAAGUAGCGUGAAGGAUGACUGCCCUAUGGGUUGUAAACUUCUUUUAUAUGGGAAUAAAGUUUUCCACGUGUGGAAUUUUGUAUGUACCAUAUGAAUAAGGAUCGGCUAACUCCGUGCCAGCAGCCGCGGUAAUACGGAGGAUCCGAGCGUUAUCCGGAUUUAUUGGGUUUAAAGGGAGCGUAGGUGGACAGUUAAGUCAGUUGUGAAAGUUUGCGGCUCAACCGUAAAAUUGCAGUUGAUACUGGCUGUCUUGAGUACAGUAGAGGUGGGCGGAAUUCGUGGUGUAGCGGUGAAAUGCUUAGAUAUCACGAAGAACUCCGAUUGCGAAGGCAGCUCACUGGACUGCAACUGACACUGAUGCUCGAAAGUGUGGGUAUCAAACAGGAUUAGAUACCCUGGUAGUCCACACAGUAAACGAUGAAUACUCGCUGUUUGCGAUAUACAGUAAGCGGCCAAGCGAAAGCAUUAAGUAUUCCACCUGGGGAGUACGCCGGCAACGGUGAAACUCAAAGGAAUUGACGGGGGCCCGCACAAGCGGAGGAACAUGUGGUUUAAUUCGAUGAUACGCGAGGAACCUUACCCGGGCUUAAAUUGCAUUUGAAUAAUCUGGAAACAGGUUAGCCGCAAGGCAAAUGUGAGGGUGCUGCAUGGUUGUCGUCAGCUCGUGCCGUGAGGUGUCGGCUUAAGUGCCAUAACGAGCGCAACCCUUAUCUUUAGUUACUAACAGGUCAUGCUGAGGACUCUAGAGAGACUGCCGUCGUAAGAUGUGAGGAAGGUGGGGAUGACGUCAAAUCAGCACGGCCCUUACGUCCGGGGCUACACACGUGUUACAAUGGGGGGUACAGAAGGCAGCUACCUGGUGACAGGAUGCUAAUCCCAAAAGCCUCUCUCAGUUCGGAUCGAAGUCUGCAACCCGACUUCGUGAAGCUGGAUUCGCUAGUAAUCGCGCAUCAGCCAUGGCGCGGUGAAUACGUUCCCGGGCCUUGUACACACCGCCCGUCAAGCCAUGAAAGCCGGGGGUACCUGAAGUACGUAACCGCAAGGAGCGUCCUAGGGUAAAACUGGUAAUUGGG